AAGAUCGUUGAGGAGUAAACGCGUAUUCCGGGUUUGUAUUACUAUAACUUAAUCUAUUUAAUAAAUGCUAUAUUGAAAUUGUAUUCAUGAGACAUUUAAAGGAAGGUAAGUAUUAACAUUUGAAAUUAAGUAAGAAUAUGUGUAUAUUGAAUUAUAUGUGAAUUGAAAUAAUAGAUGUUUUGUAUUGAUUGAAUAUUUGAAAUUGUUGUGGAAAUGAAUUCGAAAUAGGAAAAGUAAAAUAAUACCCUAUUAACUUAUCGGACUAGAUUGGAUACAAAUGGCAUGCCAUAGGAUUUGUGAUGUGAUGAGGAGAUUUGUAGUUCGGUCGAGAAGAUGACUGUGUUAUUAAAUGCUUCGGUUUAUCCGAAGAGGCAUUAAAUGCCUUAUUGGUGUGUUUGGGAGGUUAUGAUAUACUGGUGUGUUAUGAAGGAUUUAAAUUAUUUCGGGUGUGUUUAGGUUGGAUAUUUUGGUGUGUUUGGGUGGAAUCCGCGUAUCUGUCAGAGUCCGAGCCUUGUUAAUAGGGUAAAUAAUUGAAAUGGAAAUUUGAAAAUGAGAUUAGUUGAUUUGACACUAUUGAAAAAUAUGAGAAAGAAUGUAUGAUAUAAAUUAUGAAUUGAUUUAGUAUGUAAAUAUUUAAAUAUAUAAAUUUCAGAUUUAUGGAAUGAUAUAUGAAUAUUUAUAUUUAGUUUAAAGUGAUUUUUUUUAAAGACUAUGGUCAAUAUUUGAAAUUUUAUUAUUAUUAAAUAGUUUAAUUUAUAGUAAUACCACUGAGUAUAAAAUACUCAGCGUACGGUUGUUUUCGUGCGUAGGUUGAAAAGGGGUUAGUGUCUCGGUUCAGCAUCCAGGACAAUCCCGACUCCGACAUAAAGAUUUUGGUGAUGUUUUCUUCCUUUAAGAGAAAGUGGCAUGUACAUAGGAUUUAUAAUAGUUAUUUUGGCAUGUUAUAUAGUUUUGUUGUAAAGUAAGAUAUUAUGUGUUUUGAUGAUUAUAUUAGAAAAAUGGUAUAAGUUUUUUUUAGCAUUGGUAUCAAGUUGAAAUGGCUUAGUUAGUUUUAUGUGUUAAUUAGAAAUGAUAAUAGGAUUUUAUUUACUUAAGUUGUUAUGUCUAUAUGUCAAGUAGGAUUAAGUAUAUAAAUGCCUUGGUUGAAAUACUGAAAUUGGGUUGGUUAUGUUUGAAAUUUUACAGGGGGUUUAAUGUAAAAAUAAGUCGAAAUGCUGCCGAAAUUUAAAAAAAAAUGAAUGAAAUCAAUUAGUACAAAUUUAUAACAAUUUAUGAAGUAUUUUAAUAUGUUGGUUAUUUAUUUAGAAUUAUUUGUAAAUUGUUUGAUAUGUCCGGUAAUGCCUCGUAACUCUGUUCCGGCGACGGUUUGGGGUUAGGGGUGUUACAAAUAUGAUAAAAAAAAAUAAAGAUUCGUUAUAACAUUAUAACAAAACCAAGAUAAGACAUUAUCUAGAAAUAGAAUCUGUGUUUAAUUUCUUAUACUUAGAUAUACAUAUUACUCUUUACAAAAGCUAGCUAAGUUAUAUAUUUCGAAGAUUGUAAGACUACAUGAAGUACUAGUAUCAAUUAUUUUAGAUCAAGAUCUCCAUUUUACAUUUCAAAUUUGGAAGAAACUAUAAGAGGCACUAAGUACUUGUUUGGAUUUUAGUACUUCCUUCCAUUCGCAGACUAAUGGACAAUUCAAGCGAGUUAUCUAGAUCUUAGAAGAUAUGCUAAGGGGUUGCUUUAUUGAACUCCAAGGUUGUUAAGAGUAACACUUGCCCCUAGCUGAAUUUGCCUAUAAUAAUAGCUUUCAAUCAAGUAUACAAAUGACAUCUUAUAUAGCCUUGUAUGGUCGUAAGUGCCGAACACCAUUGUGUUGGAUUGAACUAGGUAAAAGGAAAAUUUUGGGUCCUUAAGUGGUAUAAGAGUCCGAGGGAAAAAUUAGAUAAAUUCAGGAUAGACUGAAAGUGGCUUCAGAUAGGCAGAAGUCGUAUACAGACCUAAAGAGAAAGGACAUUAAAUACAGUGUCAGAGAUUAAGUCUUCUUGAAAGUGUUGAGUUUCUGUCGAAAAGGCAAGUUAAGUUCUAGGUUCAUCGAACCUUACAAAAUUCUCAAGAGAGUCAAUUGAGUGGCAUGUCAAUUAGAAUUACCUCCUGAGUUGGACCGUAUUCAUGAUGUAUUUCAUAUUUCCAUGUUGAGACGAUACCGAUUCAACCUUUCCCAUUUUGUUCUAAUCGAAGAGAUCGAUGUGAGGCUAGAUUUGUCUUUUAAGGAGGAACCUAUACAAAUUCUAAGAAGGAAAUGAAUCCCAUUAGUUAAGGUUCUGUAGCGGAACCAUGGCACUAAGGAGGCUAUGUGGGAAUCACAUGACUCAAUCUAUCAACAAUAUCCUCAUCUAUUUGAAUCAGGUAAAUUUCGAGGAUAAAAUUUCUUUAACGAGGGGAGAGUUGUCAUGCCCCGAAAUAUAGGGGGAUCAGUGAAAUGGAUAGACAAGAAUUUAAUUAGGCUUCAUGGUCAAGUGUUAAAGAAUCCUCCCUAGAGACCCAAGUUUGAGCUCCCUUCCUCCCAUUUCCUUCCUUUUAUUUUCGAUAACCUAGGGUAAAAGCCACACCUAAAACAUAUACAGUAAAGAAUUAAAAUUGAACAAGAAAUAUGCUUCAGGCCUAAUGGUUAAGAGUUAGCUUCCCUUCCUUGUGACCCUCGGUUUGAACCACUCCUUCCCCAAAAGUAUUCCUUUCAUUUUCAGCCAAAUUUUGGGAUAUUUAUCGUUGACACCCUAAAAUAGAUAGACAAGAAUUGAAUUAGGCUUCAUGGUAAAGUGUUAGAGAAUCCUCCUUAGAGACCCAAGUUUGAGCUCCUUUCCUCCCAUUUCCUUCCUUUUAUUUUUGGCAACCUAGGGUAAAAGCAACACUUAAAAUAUAUAAAGCCAAGAAUUAAAACUGAACAAGAAAUAGACUUUAGGCCUAAUGGUUAAGAGUUAGCUUCCAUCCCUUGUGACCCUCGGUUCGAGCCACUCAUUCCCCAAAAAUAUCUUUUUAUUUUCGGUCAAAUUUUGGGAUAUUUACUGUUGUCGCCCUAGGGUUUACAAACCCUAGCUAUUUAGUCAUUCCUAUUCCUAUUUUGAUUAGGAUUUUCUCUUUUCAAAAUUUUAAUAAAAUUCCUUGUCAUCCUAAAUUUCUUUUAUUUUCCUCCUCUUUUCUCUCAUAUUUACACCAUAUUUUCAUCCUAAUUUAUGAUAAUUAUUUUGCUUUCUUAAAUCAAAUCAUCAUUCAUUCUAUCAUUCUUUCUAUCGAUUUUAUAAUUGUCGUCAAUAGCAUCCCUACCUUUGCCAAGAAUUGGUAAGUACAUAUUGUUUCCGAUGUUUAGAUCCUGAACUUUCGUAGUAUUAAUAUAUGAUGCUAAUCUUAUGUUCGAUUAAUCAAUUUUUACAGUUACUGCCAAAUCUUCUAUAUUUUUUUAGAGUUUUAUUUCACUCAAUUGAAUCUUUGAUAAUAUGUAUAUUUGGAAUCUAUGAUCUGAGUGGCUGAAAUAUUAUUGUUAUAAGCAUGAUAUGUAAAUAAUACAUGCCUACUGCUACUGUUAAAUUGAAUACAUGUUAAGCAUGUUUAUUGCUACUGUAUUGAUCUGUUAUAAGCAUGUCAUAUUGCAUUGCAUAGGGUGGAGUGAUAUGAACGAAGGAAGAAUGAGCAGUUCAUCUACAACGAUUAGUGGUUCAUCCACAACGUAUUGAUAGCUCGUCUGCAAAUGUUUUUAUCUGAAAACUUUUGUGGUUCAUUCACAAUUUUUAUUACUAAUUGUUCAUCUGCAAUGACUAGUGGUUCAUCCAUAACGAUGAGUGGUUCAUCCAUAACGCGAUGUAUAAGGAUGCAUGAGUUCUAAGAAACUCUUACUGUGGUGUGUAGCGAAGUUAAGUAGAAUAUUUUCUGAAAAAUUAAAACUGCAUCACCAUUCAU
Molecule: long non-coding RNA, 3936 nt
Filed under: Gossypium barbadense (sea-island cotton)
Lineage: Eukaryota; Viridiplantae; Streptophyta; Magnoliopsida; Malvales; Malvaceae
Description: long non-coding RNA (GBAR_LNC014011)
Source: RNAcentral